AACUAACGCUGGCGGCGUGCCUAACACAUGCAAGUCGUACGAGAAAGUUGGCUUCGGCCGAUGAGUAAAGUGGCGCACGGGUGAGUAAUGCGUGGAUAAUCUGCCCUUUAGUUGGGAAUAACGUACCGAAAGGUGCGCUAAUACCUGAUAAUACUGCAUAACUACUGUUGUGUAGUCAAAGAAGGCCUCUGUUUACAAGCUUUUGCUGAAGGAUGAGUCCGCGUACCAUUAGCUGGUUGGUGGGGUAAUGGCCUACCAAGGUUAUGAUGGUUAGCUGGUCUGAGAGGAUGAUCAGCCACACUGGAACUGAAACACGGUCCAGACUCCUACGGGAGGCAGCAGUGAGGAAUAUUGCGCAAUGGGGGCAACCCUGACGCAGCAACGCCGCGUGAGUGAGGAAGGUUUUCGGAUUGUAAAGCUCUGUCGAGCGGAAAGAAAUGCACGAUGGCUAAUAUCCAUCAUGCUUGACGGUACCGCUAGAGG
This 483-nucleotide ribosomal RNA is filed under the name uncultured bacterium. RNAcentral's name for it is "bacterial SSU rRNA". It matches the Rfam family "Bacterial small subunit ribosomal RNA", at positions 29 to 487 of the family's 1533-position model. The record is from RNAcentral.